Molecule: transfer RNA, 76 nt
Filed under: Bacillota bacterium
Lineage: Bacteria; Bacillati; Bacillota
Description: tRNA-Trp
Rfam family: tRNA
About the family: Transfer RNA (tRNA) molecules are approximately 80 nucleotides in length. Their secondary structure includes four short double-helical elements and three loops (D, anti-codon, and T loops). Further hydrogen bonds mediate the characteristic L-shaped molecular structure. tRNAs have two regions of fundamental functional importance: the anti-codon, which is responsible for specific mRNA codon recognition, and the 3' end, to which the tRNAs corresponding amino acid is attached (by aminoacyl-tRNA synthetases). tRNAs cope with the degeneracy of the genetic code in two manners: having more than one tRNA (with a specific anti-codon) for a particular amino acid; and 'wobble' base-pairing, i.e. permitting non-standard base-pairing at the 3rd anti-codon position.
Source: RNAcentral
AGGCCAGUGGCGCAACCGGUAGCGCAGCGGUCUCCAAAACCGCCGGUUGGGGGUUCGAGUCCCUCCUGGCCUGCCA